CAUGUGGCCUUGAGCCAUGAAAGGGAAGAGAACAAAGUGAAGAGGAAAAGGUUCGUUGUU
RNAcentral lists this small RNA (60 nucleotides) under Arabidopsis thaliana (thale cress). RNAcentral describes it as "ATSL120990". The record is from RNAcentral. Lineage: Eukaryota; Viridiplantae; Streptophyta; Magnoliopsida; Brassicales; Brassicaceae.